Desulfuromonas sp. DDH964 is the source of this 75-nucleotide regulatory RNA element. It matches the Rfam family "c-di-GMP-I riboswitch aptamer". From Rfam's summary of the family: GEMM was predicted in a large-scale screen for bacterial structured RNA regulatory elements. Genes associated with GEMM are involved in a diverse array of functions, including chemotaxis regulation, signal transduction, secretion and chitin. The record is from Rfam. Lineage: Bacteria; Pseudomonadati; Thermodesulfobacteriota; Desulfuromonadia; Desulfuromonadales; Desulfuromonadaceae.
AGCCGACAAGACUAAACCAUCCGUGAGGAUGGGGCGGAAAGCCCAGGGUCUCUUUGAGAUGGCCGGGAUGCCGAA